AGGGAAUUCGAGGAAUAGAGAGGAGCUAUUGUUUGCCGACCAGACUUCGCCAGCACUGUGGUGGCUGAAUUUCUUCUUCACAAAAGCACGGUGAAGUUUCUUUGGUUUUUUGUUUUUUAGUAAUUUUCAGCCCACCACCGCUAUCACCAUCGCCAUCGCUAUCGCCGUAUUGUCAUUAUCUGAAAUUGAAAUUUUGUGCUCCAAUUUUAAAUGCUUUUCAUGACCUUACUUUCUUGUUUGUGGGUUUAGUUCAGGUUAAUAAUGGUAGAUUAUUUCUUCGGUUCUCUUAAUUUUUGUGUUGCUGAAACAUUGGUUGUGAGUUCGGAUAGGUUAGAAAUACAUUUGAAAGAAAAAAGUUCCGUUUUCGCUAAUGCCCAAAAUGUAUUUGUAAAAAUGGCAAAGCAAACGAAUUUCCGAAACGUAUUUCCUAAUUGCUCAAGUUGGGAAGGUUUCUGGAUAUGCAUUUCAAAUUUAUGGAUUACUCUUAGUUGCAAAUUUUAUUUCAGCAUAAUUCGUAGAUUUUUUGCAUCUCUUUGGUUUCUGAAAAAAAGAAGCAUGAAAGUUUUACUUUGGUUGAAAUACUUCAGAACUCCUACAGAGUCUUUUCCUGUGGAGUAUUAAUGUUUUGGGAAUAAUUGCAGACUGAAGUUUGAAGGAACUAUGGAAAAGAAUGAGGUUUUGUUUUUGUUUCUUCAAUAACUCAUAAUUGAAGCCUAAGUGCUUAAUUUUGUAAAAUGUAUUGUGGCAUACUGGAUCUAAAUUGUCUAGUCAGUCUUUAGUCUUUGAUCGGAUCUAGUCAUAAUUUGACAUGAAUUAUUAUUAUGUAUUGAUUAGUUCAGGCAAAUUGAAAGUCAUACCAUUGCUUGAGUAUCGAAGAUGAGGCAUUACGGCUUAAGGACUAAGGAAGUGCUGUUGUUGAUCCUAAUGCAACGAAAUACUAUGUGAUUAACUCUUUACUCUCUUUCAAAUUAAUCUCUGAUUUUUCAGCAUGACAGGUAUGGAUCUCACGUCUCAGUGGCGCAUACUUGCUUUGUACGGCCUCUAAUUGAUUAUUUAGUGUCAUUGAAUGUUAUGCAAUUAAGCAAUUACUACCAGUGGACAAGGUUUGAAUUAUUUGUGGCUUUCUUGUGACUGGCGACAAUGAGCCUUGGUUAGAGAAGGCUUUCUCGUCUUUCAGGAGGAACUACGAGGUCUUCUUCCAUGUGCUUGUGUGGCAGGGUCAUCUUGGCUGUCUUGCUUCCACCAUGGGCUGGCAGUGAAUACCAAUAACAUCACUUUGCCUGAUGAUGGUGGGGGAGCAUUGAGUGGGAUUUAUUUGGGAUUAAGGGGCUCUUGCGAAAAUAUACUCAGUUAUGCUAUGGGAUUACU
Coffea eugenioides is the source of this 1368-nucleotide long non-coding RNA. RefSeq lists it as uncharacterized. NCBI's taxonomy places the organism in Eukaryota, Viridiplantae, Streptophyta, Magnoliopsida, Gentianales, Rubiaceae. The record is from RefSeq and is a predicted model, not a curated record. The transcript has 4 exons.